UAGGGAAUCUUCGGCAAUGGACGAAAGUCUGACCGAGCAACGCCGCGUGAGUGAAGAAGGUUUUCGGAUCGUAAAACUCUGUUGUUAGAGAAGAACAAGGACGUUAGUAACUGAACGUCCCCUGACGGUAUCUAACCAGAAAGCCACGGCUAACUACGUGCCAGCAGCCGCGGUAAUACGUAGGUGGCAAGCGUUGUCCGGAUUUAUUGGGCGUAAAGCGAGCGCAGGCGGUUUCUUAAGUCUGAUGUGAAAGCCCCCGGCUCAACCGGGGAGGGUCAUUGGAAACUGGGAGACUUGAGUGCAGAAGAGGAGAGUUGAAUUCCAUGUGUAGCGGUGAAAUGCGUAGCUAUAUGGAGGAACACCAGUGGCGAAGGCUGCUCUCUGGUCUGUAACUGACGCUGAGGCUCGAAAGCGUGGGGAGCAAACAUG
This 429-nucleotide ribosomal RNA is filed under the name Gemmatimonadota bacterium. RNAcentral describes it as "Gemmatimonadetes bacterium partial 16S ribosomal RNA". It matches the Rfam family "Bacterial small subunit ribosomal RNA", at positions 355 to 776 of the family's 1533-position model. Lineage: Bacteria; Pseudomonadati; Gemmatimonadota. The record is from RNAcentral.